AAAUACCACCCGCACGCUCCGGUUCUGAGCGCGCCGUCCGCGCCCACCUGACGACUGCUCGCUACGUUUUGUUUUCC
Molecule: small RNA, 77 nt
Filed under: Xanthomonas dyei pv. eucalypti
Lineage: Bacteria; Pseudomonadati; Pseudomonadota; Gammaproteobacteria; Lysobacterales; Lysobacteraceae
Also listed under: 1 other name
Description: sX9 sRNA
Rfam family: Xanthomonas sRNA sX9
Source: RNAcentral